This 403-nucleotide ribosomal RNA is filed under the name bacterium. Its description in RNAcentral is "partial 16S ribosomal RNA". It matches the Rfam family "Bacterial small subunit ribosomal RNA", at positions 355 to 776 of the family's 1533-position model. The record is from RNAcentral.
UGGGGAAUAUUGCACAAUGGAGGGAACUCUGAUGCAGCGACGCCGCGUGAACGAAGAAGGCUUUCGAGUCGUAAAGUUCUUUUAUAUGGGAAGAUAAUGACGGUACCAUAAGAAAAAGCCCCGGCUAACUACGUGCCAGCAGCCGCGGUAAUACGUAGGGGGCUAGCGUUGUCCGGAAUCACUGGGCGUAAAGGGUUCGCAGGCGGAAAUGCAAGUCAGGUGUAAAAGGCAGUAGCUUAACUACUGUAAGCAUUUGAAACUGCAUAUCUUGAGAAGAGAAGAGGUAAGUGGAAUUUUUAGUGUAGCGGUGAAAUGAGUAGAUAUUAAAAAGAAUACCGGCGGCGAAGGCGAUAUACUGGGCUCAUUCUGACGCUGAGGAACGAAAGCGUGGGUAGCAAACAGG